This is a long non-coding RNA of Coccinella septempunctata (seven-spotted ladybird), 305 nucleotides long. RefSeq lists it as uncharacterized. The record is from RefSeq and is a predicted model, not a curated record. The transcript is spliced from 3 exons. Lineage: Eukaryota; Metazoa; Arthropoda; Insecta; Coleoptera; Coccinellidae.
CUCCAUGUGGAAAUCCAUCUUUAUCGCUGGUCGGAAACGUGCCACGCUUCAUCCCUCCGGUUACCCAGGAAUCGUGGGAGCUGCAACAGGUGGAAAGCCUCCAACAGCUCGACGUGGGGGCUCAAUGGGCUGGUGUGACCCGGCUGUACGGACGUUGAGACUUUCGGAUCCGGUAUGAGACUUGCAGGUGCUUCCUACUUGCUGAUAUGUGUAACCUGUUCAACUUCUUCCGGAGUGGUUCAGAUUGGGUGGAUGCACUAGGGAUAUCACACUGGAUGGCAGCCUCUCUUUGACAGUGAUGAGAA